Molecule: unclassified non-coding RNA, 617 nt
Filed under: Microlicia inversa
Lineage: Eukaryota; Viridiplantae; Streptophyta; Magnoliopsida; Myrtales; Melastomataceae
Description: Trembleya inversa partial contains external transcribed spacer and 18S ribosomal RNA
Source: RNAcentral
AGGCUUGUUCGGGUUGCGGUUCGUUCCUUUGGCGGCGCUCCUCCCCCGUGGAGGCGCUGUCCUAGGGUCGGAUGCACCUCGUCAUGCGAUGGGACGACGCAUGAGUGGCUUUUAGGAUAUGAUCCCAGAGCAGGCUCCAUGUUCCCGGCAUCGAACUGCUUUGGUCUGUCCCUUUCAUUUGUUGGAUCGCCCCGUCCCUUCUAGGGUCGGUUGCGUCCGCUCGUUGGGUCUCUGUGCUCGAUAUCGUGAUGCGGUAUUCGGAUGGCCUUUGGUCCCCGUCUAGGUUCCCCUCGAUUCUCCUUCGCCUCGUUUGCGGUGGUGAAUACCGUGCGGGCGUCUACGUUUUCCAUCCGAGCCGUUGUCCCCGUCUUGGCGCUUCUUCUCGUGAUGGUGCGUGGAUGCUUCCGCCACGCCCUUGGGUACGGAUGAUUCGUUGGUAUUCUCGYWGAGGUCUCUCCCGUCCGGAGCGAGAUCCCGAUGUGUCGAAGCAUCAACGCUUCCGCCCGCGUGACCCUCGUGCCCGCGUAGGCKCGUCGUGGGACUUCUCCGUCCCGCGUUCGGCUUGCGUGGGGCAUUGAUGUCUACGGAGGAAUGCUACCUGGUUGAUCCUGCCAGUA